RNAcentral lists this ribosomal RNA (460 nucleotides) under uncultured bacterium. RNAcentral's name for it is "partial 16S ribosomal RNA". It matches the Rfam family "Bacterial small subunit ribosomal RNA", at positions 338 to 795 of the family's 1533-position model. The record is from RNAcentral.
CCUACGGGAGGCAGCAGUGAGGAAUAUUGGUCAAUGGACGAGAGUCUGAACCAGCCAAGUAGCGUGAAGGAUGACUGCCCUAUGGGUUGUAAACUUCUUUUAUAAAGGAAUAAAACGAGGCACGUGUGCCUUUUUGCAUGUACUUUAUGAAUAAGGAUCGGCUAACUCCGUGCCAGCAGCCGCGGUAAUACGGAGGAUCCGAGCGUUAUCCGGAUUUAUUGGGUUUAAAGGGAGCGUAGAUGGGUUGUUAAGUCAGUUGUGAAAGUUUGCGGCUCAACCGUAAAAUUGCAAUUGAUACUGGCAGUCUUGAGUACAGUUGAGGUAGGCGGAAUUCGUGGUGUAGCAGUGAAAUGCGUAGAUAUCACGAAGAACCCCGAUUGCGAAGGCAGCUUACUAAACUGUGACUGACAUUGAUGCGCGAAAGUGUGGGUAUCAAACAGGAUUAGAUACCCUUGUAGUC